Molecule: RNA transcript, 1763 nt
Organism: Scaptodrosophila lebanonensis
Lineage: Eukaryota; Metazoa; Arthropoda; Insecta; Diptera; Drosophilidae
Gene name: serine protease inhibitor 42Dd-like
Exons: 5
Source: RefSeq, a predicted model, not a curated record
AGGCAACAGUCAGUCGAACCCGAUCGAUUUAUUAGCACUGUGAAUCGUGUUCUAUAGAUACUAAGUAUAUAUCAAGCAACACGGUCUGGACGCAGAACAAAAGAUAGUGAUAUGCGCACUGCUAAAUUAUCCAACUGAAUCUCGUCGGCACGUUUGGCUGUUAGUUCUGACUGCCGUUACCUCUUACCCGCACAUUAUGGCCAACACGGAGUUUGCCAAGAACCUGGACACGUUCUCCCGCAAUGUAUACUCGGAAUUGGUGCAGUUAAAUCAAAAUACAAACAUCAUUUUCUCGCCGUUCUCCAUACAAACCUGCGCAGCGAUGGUGCGUAUUGGCGCUGAGGGAGAGACUGCCACUGAAAUGGAUGUUGGCCUUAAGCUUGUCUCCAGUGAUGUGAAGGAAAUUGCCGAUACCUAUGGCCAAGUGAUGGCCGAUUACGAGAAGAGCAAGGUGCUGAAAAUAGCCAACAAGGUGUAUAUCAAGGAGGGGUACAGUGCCCGCGAAGAGUUCAAAAAUAUAUUGACCAGAAAGUUCCUAUCUAAGCCGGAAAACAUUAAUUUCGUACAGAGCAGUGUAGCUGCCUCUACGAUUAAUGCCUGGGUUGAAUCAAAGACAAAUAAUUUAAUUAAGGAUCUUAUAAGCCCCGAUGUAUUGAACGCAGACACGCGUCUAGUGCUAAUUAAUGCCAUACACUUUAAAGGCCAAUGGAAGACUAAAUUCGAUGAAGCAAACACUGAGGACGAGGAUUUCUAUCUCAACGACGUCGAUAAAGUAAAAAUGCCAAUGAUGAACGUGAGACAUGAUUUCCGCUUCGCCGAACUGCCGGAAUAUGACGCUCAGGCCCUUGAAAUGCCCUACAAAGAUAGUGAUCUGUCCAUGCUAGUCAUAUUGCCAAACAAAAAGACGGGCCUGUUGAGUCUAGAACAAAAAUUGAAGACCGUGAAAUUGUCUGAUAUCACAAGCAAAUUAUCUUCCACGAAAGUUAUUGUCAAAUUUCCCAAAUUUAAAGCCGAAUUCUCGCAGGAAUUGACGCCUGUUUUCAAAAAGCUUGGAAUGGUGCGCUUAUUCGCUGACAAUGCCGAAUUUGGCAAUAUAUUGCAAAGUCCUGAGGCAUUGAAGGUUUCUCAAAUCAUACACAAAGCCUUCAUCGAUGUUAAUGAGGAAGGUACUGAAGCAGCUGCAGCCACUGCUGCCGCGGUCGUGCUUUACAGCAUGCCCCUACCAGAACCGGAGCCAAUUACAUUUACUGCGAACCAUCCAUUCUUCUAUGCGAUCCGUAAUCACAGCGGCUGCUUAUUUGCUGGGAAUUUUAAAGUGUCAUUCAGCGAGAAGAAGCACAAAAAACAUUGUCCCUGUAAAAAAAAACGGAAUUCCAAGAAUUAAAGGUCUAUUACUUAGCCUUUUAUCUAACUUGUAACUCGAAGCACUUAAAGCAAACCCAAAAGUGAAUUUGUGGACCCCUAGAUAGGCCACACAGACCUAUUAUGAGUCAAAAACGUGGGACUUACAAAAUGGUUUUAACUGAAUAUUCUGCACUGGAUAUUGAGCCAGAUAGUCCCAUAUCCUUCAAAGCAGAAGACCCUUCUCUUAUUCGAUAUACCAGGAAAAGGGCAGCGUGCUCUUCCUUGGAAAAUUGUGUACAGCCCCUACCGGAAACACCUGUCUGGAAAGUUGUACCAAACGAAAGCGCUGCAAUAGAAUUGAAAGAAAAUUCAUAGUUCUUGAAUCAAAAUUCAAAUAAAGUUUACAUACCAUCAACCCA